This is a non-coding RNA of Plutella xylostella (diamondback moth), 1450 nucleotides long. NCBI's taxonomy places the organism in Eukaryota, Metazoa, Arthropoda, Insecta, Lepidoptera, Plutellidae. The record is from RefSeq and is a predicted model, not a curated record.
CUGUAACACCAUUAUUUUUGUAACUUAACAUUUCGUUUAUUGUUUACAUUCUGUUUGUUUACUUUGUUAGUCUUGUCAAGUAUCAGCUGUCAAAUUCGACACACAGGAUAGAUUUUCAGUUGUUGUCUGUGGUCCUUUGAGAAAACUCGUGCUAGAUCGUCAUCGGACAGUGGUCAGUGGCGACAUGACGCUCAGAACAAUGAUCGUGCUGACUAGCCACAGAGUAGUUUUGUGACGAUGAGCUGACAUCCCCGGUGACGGCUUUUUUUCGGAACUGGCAAGGAGGCAAACCAUUCUCUGUCAGAAGGUCUCGAGUAAAUGUGUGGUUAGAUUUUUCUUCCCGCCCGCGUGGCGCAGGCCGUAUUGGUACCAAGUUCCUUGCUUCAUAUUUCCUGGUGAGUAUUUCGAUCGUGGGUUCAGGUUAUCUGAUUGGUCUACGAGAUAGAUUCUGACUAAGUUGUUUCUUUGCAGUUACCAGAUACGUGUCACAGACACCCACGCAGCAUCACACCAUGUGUACCUAACCUGAAUUGCCGACAAUUUCAAUCCUGCCCGGUGAAGCGUGCGAUUGCCAGACGCGUGUCACCUGACCCAACCCCAAGGUAAGCGCCAUGACCUUCCACGUGUCGAUUAGGUUAUUUUGCAAGUGUCACGUUUAAACAGCAAAGCUACCGCCUUUGAGACGAGAUCUAACCUUCCCAUAAUCGUUUGAUUAGUGAUUGACCGUAGGUUUUAGGUUAGAAAUACCCAGGGGCCAUUCAAGACACGUCACUUGAGACAUGUUAGCUAGGCCUUCGCUGUCCUUACCGACCCAUCCUUGACCCAAGGCUGUUUCUCGCGAUUCCAGAAGGUGUCGUUGGUGACCAGAGCCGUCAGCGAGCCACGAGCCGUCCGGAGCUCCUGUCCUGGCCCCGUCCGACAGUCCAGGUUGGCCGUUGUAUGUUCGUUGAGCGGAUACUGAGGAAUUUCCUUAGGAUUUCUAUUAAUCUUCAGCGGCAUCAGCCUUCUAACGCCGCUGCUGAAUGUAGGAUUGCAAAGGCAGAACCCGGGUGGACUCUAGCGGGUUAAAACCUUUAUUUUUUAUUUUUUUUUACUUCGUAGGGAGCCCCGUUAGAACGGGCAGUAGUAUCUAAAUUGCACUUUGAACCUUUUGUAGGCGCUAGGCUAUCAACGUCCUUCGGUUACGGGGCCUUAACGUUAAACUGCUAUCCCAUUGAAGUAAUAUAGAAGUUUCUCUGGGGUUAAUACCAUCUUCCUAUCCCUGUGGCGUGAAACACAGGGGUAGAACCUUUGGUUUCCCCACUUUAAUGUAAUCUCCUUGUAAUACCUUGUAUACUUCAACCAGACAAUUAUAAGGACUUAAUCCCUGGUCUCAUUUUAGACCUAUUUGAGUUAUAAAAUAUUGUGUGAGGCAGGGUUUUGAUAAAUAAAUAUUAAUAACUGUACAACA